UACGAAGGGGGCUAGCGUUGCUCGGAAUUACUGGGCGUAAAGGGAGCGUAGGCGGAUAGUUUAGUCAGAGGUGAAAGCCCAGGGCUCAACCUUGGAAAUGCCUUUGAUACUGGCUAUCUUGAGUAUGGGAGAGGUAAGCGGAAUUCCGAGUGUAGAGGUGAAAUUCGUAGAUAUUCGGAAGAACACCAGUGGCGAAGGCGGCUUACUGGCCCAUUACUGACGCUGAGGCUCGAAAGCGUGGGGAGCAAACAGG
This 253-nucleotide ribosomal RNA is filed under the name uncultured Caulobacter sp. RNAcentral's name for it is "partial 16S ribosomal RNA". It matches the Rfam family "Bacterial small subunit ribosomal RNA", at positions 524 to 776 of the family's 1533-position model. Lineage: Bacteria; Pseudomonadati; Pseudomonadota; Alphaproteobacteria; Caulobacterales; Caulobacteraceae. The record is from RNAcentral.